UACGUAGGGUGCGAGCGUUAAUCGGAAUUACUGGGCGUAAAGCGUGCGCAGGCGGUUUUGUAAGACAGGCGUGAAAAUCCCCGGGCGUCAAACCUCGGGAACUGCGCGUUGUGACUGUCAAGGCUAGAGUACGGCAGAGGGGGGUGGAAUUCCACGUGUAGCAGUGAGAUGCGUAGAGAUGUGGAGGAACACCAAUGGCGAAGGCAGCCCCCU
This 213-nucleotide ribosomal RNA is filed under the name uncultured bacterium. RNAcentral's name for it is "partial 16S ribosomal RNA". It matches the Rfam family "Bacterial small subunit ribosomal RNA", at positions 524 to 730 of the family's 1533-position model. The record is from RNAcentral.